GACGAACGCUGGCGGCGUGCUUAACACAUGCAAGUCGAACGGAAAGGCCCCUUUGGGGGUACUCGCGUGGCUAACGGGCGAGUAACACGUGAGUAACCUGCCCUUGACUUCCGGAUAACUUCCUGCAACUGGGGCUAAUACCUGAUAGGAAUCCUUGCUGCAUGGAUGGGGGUGGAAAGCUUCGGCGGUUUUGGAUGGACUCGCGGCUUAUCAGCUUGUUGGUGGGGGAGUGGGUUACCAAGGGUUUGACGGGUAGCCGGCCUGGGAGGGCGACCGGCCACAUUGGGACUGAGAUACGGCCCAGGAUCCUACGGGGGGCAGCAGUGGGGAAUAUUGCAAAAUGGGCGGAAGCCUGAUGCAGGAAAGCCGCGGGCGGGAUGACGGCCUUCGGGUUGUAAACCGCUUUCAGCAGGGGCGAAGCUUGUGGUGACGGUACCGGCAGAAGAAGCACCGGCUAACUACGUG
RNAcentral lists this ribosomal RNA (465 nucleotides) under uncultured bacterium. Its description in RNAcentral is "partial 16S ribosomal RNA". It matches the Rfam family "Bacterial small subunit ribosomal RNA", at positions 28 to 507 of the family's 1533-position model. The record is from RNAcentral.